Non-coding RNA from Heterocephalus glaber (naked mole-rat), 3242 nucleotides. Lineage: Eukaryota; Metazoa; Chordata; Mammalia; Rodentia; Bathyergidae. The record is from RefSeq and is a predicted model, not a curated record.
GGGCUCCCCGCAGGGAGCAGCUUCGGCCGGGAAGAAUGCAUCAGAAGCUGCUGAAGAGCGCGCACUACAUCGAGCUGGGCAGCUAUCAGUACUGGCCGGUCCUGGUACCCCGCGGCAUUCGCCUCUACACCUACGAGCAGAUCCCUGUGUCCCUCAAGGACAACCCGUACAUCACCGACGGCUACCGGGCCUACCUGCCCUCCAGGCUCUGCAUCAAAAGUUUGUUUAUUUUAUCUAAUGAGACGGUAAACAUCUGGAGUCAUUUGCUGGGUUUCUUUCUCUUCUUCACCCUGGGAAUAUAUGACAUGACAUCUGUAUUACCUUCGGCAAGUGCAUCCAGAGAAGAUUUUGUAAUUUGUUCUAUUUGUCUCUUCUGCUUCCAGUAUUGGCGGCAGGUGUACUUGAUCACAGUGCUUGCUAUGAUCCUCGCAGUGUUCUUUGCACAGAUUCAUCCCAGUUACCUCACACAGCAAUGGCAGAGGCUCCGUUCUAUCAUCUUUUGUUCUGUUUCGGGCUAUGGAGUGAUCCCUACUCUUCACUGGGUUUGGCUCAAUGGAGGAAUCGGUGCUCCUAUUGUACAGGACUUCGCACCCCGUGUAAUUGUGAUGUACGUGAUUGCUCUUCUUGCUUUCCUGUUCUAUAUUUCCAAAGUUCCAGAACGGUACUUUCCAGGACAACUAAACUACCUCGGGUCAAGCCACCAAAUAUGGCACAUCCUUGCAGUAGUGAUGUUAUAUUGGUGGCAUCAGUCAACAGUGUAUGUCAUGCAGUACAGACAUAGCAAACCUUGUCCUGACUAUGUUUCACGUGUGUGAAUUCAGAAUCAGGAAUGAAGAAUCAGGGAUUAUCAGUCACAUCUUACGGCAUCCCUCCUGGACAGAGUAACCGAUUGGAAGAUUGUGAUUGGCUGGCAGAGAGGUGUACAGCUCUCCAUUCGGCAGUCUCAGUUACCUGGAAGGCUGAAGGAGGAGGACUGCUUGAAACCAGUAGCAAGACCAGCCUGGAUAAAAUAGUGAGACUGCAUCUCAAAAACAUGACAAGACUGAGGAUACAGCUCAGUGGUAGCACACUUGCCUAGCAUGUGCAAGAUCCUGGGUUAGAUUGCCAACACCAAAAAACAACAAAAAAGUAUUUUUUAAAGUAAUGAUAAACUCAAAAAGGACAAAAUAAAAACUAAUUCAUUACAAAGUUAAGAUUUAAAGUGUAGCUCAGUAAUAAAGCACUUGCUUAACAUGAGUAAGGCUCUGGGUUUGAUCCCCAAGAACACCAAAAGAGAAAAAAAAUGUAAUAAAGUUCUAACAGAAUUUUUUUUAAAUAUAAAGAACAGAAUUCCUAAUAAAAACAGUGUAAGGAACAAUACAUUCAGGAUAGUGGUUCUUAAAUACAUAUUAAUAGACUUGAACUUCCUAAAUUCUUUCCCUUCUGCCACAUGACUUUUUAUUCUCAAGUAACAUUCUCUGUAUGGUUUACUUAAAAUUAAAUUCUAUUUAGUAAUCAUUAACUCUCAAAUCCAAGUAAAAAGAUGGAUUUUCAUAUACGUAUAUUUUGCAUUGUGUAUGUACACACACAAUUAGGAGUCAUUUCUUGCGUUUCUUUGUCCUAGCCCUAGAAAUCUCCAAAAGCUUUUUAGUCUGAGAAUGUUAGGUAGAAUAUAUAUUUAUUGAAAAGAAUCCCCUUUUCUUUUUAAACCUCUCCCUAAGUUUAGGGGGAAAAUAAUUUUUUUUCAGUAGAUUCAAGUACCUUACUUUUAAAGGAAGAUGAAUGCCUCCAAUAUUUCAUUUAUACUUAAAAAUUAUAACAGUUUAUUUAAGCUUUGUAAUACAUAGGUCAGUGGUAAUAUAUCAUUUUACUUUUUUUACUUUAGUUACACUUUUUGAAUCUGAUAAGUAUCACAUUAAUAAUGCUAAUACAGUGAUUACUUUUUUCUCUGGAGGCACACUCCUACUAUGACCAUUCACUCUUUUAUGCUAUUUACUUAAUUUUUCAUAACUAAAUCAUCUGAAUGCCCAUGUUUACAUGAACAUGUCUAAUAAACUUUCUGGAGGGAGGACAUUUAUAUCAAAUGGUAUCUUUUGUGGAUAGUCAUAAUUUUUUCAUAUAUUCAAUGACUAUUAUUAGGUAGUGAUUGGGUUGGCUACUGGGCAGUACCAAAAGACAAUCAUGCUUCCAACCUAAUGGACUGCUACAUGUAUAUCAGUUAAACAACAUAUUUGAGCUCAAUCAAUAACCAUAUUGCUAACUUCAAAAUCUCUACGUCAACUUCAACUUCAAAUAAUGGUAUCCAGAGAAAAGACCAAUUGUUGAGAUUUACUCCAGUUCCUGAAUCUACUAGUCAUUUUCCCAGAGUAUUAUCAGGAGCUAUUAAAGAACAAGUCAUUGCAGAGGUCCGUGCCAACCUGAAAAGGAUAAUGCAAUUCCUCAUAGAAUAUGAGAAAAAGCUAGAAAAUGCUUUCUGCACACAAAUGAGUACCUGAAGUCAUUGGUUCUUGAAAAUUAACAGACUAUUUUGAGAUACUAUAAUUAAAGAAAAAAUAUCAGCUUUGUAACCUAGGAUAUUAGGGAUGUGGAGGAGCACAGUUAUGGAGAUUAAUUUUUUCCCACAUACUUCCCUUCACCAAGAUUAAAACUCAUGUUUUUCACUAGGACCACAAACACACAAAAAAUUCAUUUAUGCCAAAGUGAGAUUCUUUUCCAUCCUAGUAUCUUCCUAGUAUUAACAGUGUUAUUACUUUGAAAUUAUUACUAAAAAUAGUUUUAACUAGUGAAUAAUACCAACAUUUAAAUUCUGGAUUGAAAUCAAAGGCUGGGCUAUUAGAAGAAAAAAGUAGCUAAAACAAAGACUGUGACGCAAAAAACAAACAAACUGUAUUACUAUUUUUUAAAUGCAACUACAAGACGUAUAAACUAGGAAAAUAUCACAUUUUUAAGCAAGUACUAAGUAUAAAAAUAUCUUUAGAUAUAUUUUAAUUAUGAAGAAUGGAGAGGUUUUUUUCAUGUAUGGGUUUUUAAAAAAUAGUAUCCAAUAAUAAAGUUGAAAAUGAGUUAUGUUGCUAUUAUAUACAUAAAUAUUUGUAUAUGUUGGCAAAGGUACACCUGAAUAUCCCAAUGGGUCAAACAUUAGGAAGACAAGGGUCUAACCUUCCUAAAGGUUAAAUAUUAUUCUAUUCUAGCUCCAUAACUAACAGAUGAUUUUUACUCUCACUUUACAUUAAUAAAGUUUUAUUGUUGUGAAUAUUUUUUAA